Ailuropoda melanoleuca (giant panda) is the source of this 10135-nucleotide long non-coding RNA. RefSeq lists it as uncharacterized. The record is from RefSeq and is a predicted model, not a curated record. Lineage: Eukaryota; Metazoa; Chordata; Mammalia; Carnivora; Ursidae. The transcript is spliced from 4 exons.
GUGCCGGGCCGGCGCGCCAGGCUGCGCUGACUGCCCGAGCCUGCGAGGGGAGGGAAGAACGCGGGGCCGGCGCCUCCGCUGGUGACGGGAAAACGUUACCCGGCUUCGGCUUCGGUCAGUCCGUCUACUCUAUGCUCUGCGGUCCGCCUCUGUCAGUCUGUCGGUCCGUCCGGGCGUCUGUUGAGGGGCACACGCCCCUGUCACUGCCCUCUGGGAGAUUUCUCCGAGAUCGUGUGAUCUUUUGCAAGCAGCAGGUGUCGGGGGCGCCGGUGUCCCCGGAGCGCGCCAGCAGUGUGUGUGGGGGGGGCUUGCUUUCGAAGAUAUCCCCCCUUCUCAGUGGCUGAGGGAAGGGGAGUCUUGCGCCCGGGACAGUGGCUGGCUGAUGAGGGACAGCCCUGAGGGUCAGGUCGCGGAGUCCAGCAGACGGGGAGGCGGCUCACACUGCGCGCUCGUGGGUGUGCGCCGGGCAACGGGUCUGCGCCCUGCUGCUCGGGCCUCGGCACGGUCUUCCUUCUGGUUUCCCUCCGCCUCCCGUUGCCCGCGGCUCAGGCACUCCGGGUAGCGCUGGGCUCCCAGGGUCGUGCUGGCGCAGGGCGCGCGGGGUGUGUGUGUGUUGCGGGGGGUGCAAUGAAAUAUUAAAAGACAUGACGGCCCCUGUUGAUGUUUAGACUGAGACUCCAAACCCGGCAUUGCUGGGAGAGGGUUCGGUGGUGCCUGGCAAGGGACGUCGGCUCCAAGAAGGGUUAAAUUAGGUUGAAGACCUGGCGGAGUGCGAGCCAGGGCUGUGGCCAGGUCUGCAGCUCGCCGCUCUGGGAACGAGGGCCAGAGACCUCCUGGAAUGGACCCGGCGGCACGCAUGUGCCCUUGAGAAAGUGCGCCCGAGGUCCUCAGCCGCAGACUCUCAGCUCUCAGCGACCGCCGCCGUUCCCCAAGGGUCGAACACCACGACGGCCGUCCCAGGCGCGCCUCCAGCAGCCGGAUUUGAGGUCCUGAGUCUUGCUCCGCGCAGCCAACGUUGCCCACAGGGACUCUGUCUCCCGCUCUGUGUCCGUGUUGGAGAACUUGGGGAUGAAAGUCACGAGAGUGCUGAAGUUGAUCACGGUGCCAACAGAAAUGGUGUUCAGAGAUAAAUGGGAGCAUUUUUGUGACACAGAUCAGCACCUGUGCUUCUCACCUGAGCCACUUGGAAGAGAGAGAAAAUUAGAAGUCAUCUUCGCUCCCUCCAUCUGAAAGGCGUGCAGCUCAAGGAUGCAGGGCACAGGUGCUGGAAGUCUUCCUGCGGGUUUCAUCUGCCCGGUGGUGUGAUUGGAGCAGGAGGCUGGACCCUGGUAGAGCUCGAAGCCCUGGCUCUCUCCCCUGACUUCACUCAGGUUCCGGUUUCCAGCACACACCGCUUUCUGGCCUUGUCGGCGUUCUGAUACACGAUGUGCUGUUCACCAUCUUCCUGUUGCAGAUCCUUUCUUUGCUGCCCAAAUAGCCAGCAAACGACCGUCCUGACCCUGCACAGGCAUCACUCCCCCCCACCCCCGCUUUCUGUGUGAAGAGUUCCCUAACCCUCUUUCUCCAAUGUAUCAGCAAGUUGUGCUGUGUAACAGAGUAUCCCCAAGCCAGUGGUUUCCAACAGGAACCUGUACUAUCGUUGGAUGGAUGGGCCGGCUGGCUCUGCAGGUCCGCAGAGGCUUGGCCGAUGUUGGCAUGCUCUUGAGUCUAUAUUCAGUUGCGGAAUGGCUGGAGGCUGGCUGGCGUAGGGGGUCCCCACUGGCUGACUUUCUACUGAGAGGAUGACGGUGACUGGACCGCGUGACUCUCAGCAUUGAGCAGACUAACCUAGGUGUGUUCUCCAGGUGACUGAUACGGUUCAGUGGGAGUGAGGGAACCUGCGCACGGAUCUCAAAACUCAAUAGCACGCCCUCCCUUCUGCCUCGUUCUUUUGGCCAAAGCAAGGCCAGUCCACGUGCAAGGGGAGGGGGUUUCUAGUCUACCUGUUGAGAGAAGAAGCUGCAAAGCCACAUGGCAAAGAACAUGGACGUGGGAGGAAGAGGGAAGGGCGAGGGGAGUGAGGCCAUAUUAGUGACCCACCCACCACACCCACCUUUGACAGAAUGGCUUCGUCAGUACUUGAAUGUACUUGCUUGGUGACACAUUGCAUUGCUUAUUUAUUGGAAUCCUAAUUCUGCAGACACGUCCUGGUACUUGCAUUAAUCUCAGUGGCAUCCCAGUCACCAGUGAACUUCCUUGGGCUGCUUGGCCAUCCAUCCCCUGAGUGCAGAAACAGGGCAGGCCGGCACCCAGGAGUGGGAGUACCCAGGAGGGAAGGGCCUCCGGUGGGGAGGGGGCAUGCUGCACAUGUCCCCUCCAUGUCUCCAAGGCGGCUCAAGGCCUCAGCUGCUGUAGGGCAGGUUCCAGAGCCCGAAGAAAGCCCUGUUGCCCCGUUCAUGCUUCCUGAUGCUCUUGCCCUCAGCCGGGUGUGGGCGGGCAGGUCCCAGCAGCCAAGGCCCCAGCCCUCACCCACAAUGCCAGCAAUGCAGCCCCCAGAGGAUCUGCCUGGGGCCUGCCCACACUCCCGGAUGUUGACCGGGGCACGGCUCCAGCGCCAGCUUUAAUGGAUAGUCUCAUUGCUUUUAAAAUAAUGACCACUGGGCGUGGGCUGGCAGGAGCGGUGACAUCACUUUCCUGCAAUUCGGGGUCAGUUCCUGCUGCUUUUCCCUGCAUCUUUGAGUGGCUGGAAUCAAUCUACUUGUUGGGUAUGUGUCCUGGACGGUUUCUAGCAUGUUCGACGUCCAGGCCAUGAUGUGGUCAGGAGAGCAAAUGGGUUUGAAGUCAGAGGUCCUGGGUUUGAGAUUCAGCCACUGGCUUGCUGUGUGAACCUGGGCUGCCCACUGAACUUCUCUCGGCCCGAGCUUUCUUACCUGUGUGACGACGGAGCACCUCCUGCCUUUGUGAAGGAGUGGUGAGGCUCCCUCGGCGGCGAGGCUGAGCGGGACCUUCUGGGAGAGCCGCCGCGGCGGUCUGGGAACGGAACUGGCGGAACAAGUUGGAAAUGAGCGACCUUCCCUUUCACUCGGGGCUCUGCGUGGCGCCCGGCAGGGACUGCAUAUGCUUGGAGGCAGGGGCCCCUUGCUCCUGGCACGGGGACGCGCUCCCGGCUUGCCAGUCUGUGUUGUUGGGGAUGCAUCGGCCCGGGGAGGUGCCCUUCCGGGGCACUCACGGCCCACCUGUUCUGUCUGCGUGUUUUCUGCCCGUGGACCUGGGCUGUCUGCCAUCAGGUAAAGGUUGUCCCCUUGGAAUGAGUUUGACUUCGAGUCUGUAACUAUUUUAACGGACUUUUACAUCCUAAACAUGUCGAUGGGAAGACAGGGUCAUGCGUGGGUCCCAGAGCAGGACAGCAGAGGCCAGUUUCAUGUUUCCUCUCCUCCCACCGUGAUUUUAGCUUGAAGAGCGCCUGUGGGCAGGAGUUGUUGCUUCUCAGCUAUGGCCCCUUGUUGGGCUUCUCCAUCCUUCCACGGAAGGCCAGCAUUCCGGCCCGCUCUGAGUCCCUUGUGGUCAUGGCAGGAGGACAAAGCCACGUGGCAGGACAAGGGCACACAUCUUCUCAUGCCAAGUGGCCUCUAAACACCGUGGCUCUCCCUGACGUCUCCCGGGGACCCUCAGUGACAAGGGGAGGCUGGCGCCCAGUCUCAAACUGCCCCGCCUGUCCUGUGUGCACCUGCACUUCCUCGUGGAGGGUUCCCGCCAUCACCGCGGGGCACAGAGACGGGUGUGCAAGACGGCGGGUGUGCACCAGGUUUCGCGCCCCCUGGGGUCCACCCGCAUGUGAGCAGUUCAGCAGAAUUCCUUUCCGGGGCCAGGGUGCAUCCUUCCAAGGUGUGGGCUCCUGCACGCAGCUGUUGAACGACAAGGCCGGGGCUCCGUCCUCCUGAGAGCUGUGUGGGGUAUUCGGUUCCAUUUUGACCCAGACUUUCAGGCACUGGACUCAGAAAUGCCAAACAAUGAAGGGUUGGUUUUAGGGUUUAUGAGAACCAGCACCUCCCCCCCAAAGAAGACUCUUACAGAAGCAAGCUAUUGUAACGGGAAGUCUCCUGGCGCCGGGGAGGAGCGGUGAAGGUGACGGGGGUGUGGUGAUAACGAUCUGCCCCUUGUGCCCAGCACCACGGUCAGGGUCUCGUUCACUGUGUCACCGAGCUCACUCGGCAGCUCUGAGGCUGCUUCUGGGCCAGCCGGGUUACCCAGACAGGACAAAGGAGCCCCAAAGAAGUCAAGCACGUGGCCCAAAGAUACGCAGCUAACCCGCGGGGUCGUGGCGGUGGUGAUGCCGGCACCCGGGUCUCUGCACCACCUCCGACUGGUUCUCAGUGGUGGGCAGGUGGCGUCUGUGGCCUCAAAGAGCCAAAGACAAACAAGCUGCCAAAGAAGAUGGUGCCUUUUGGGUGCCCUGUUUGUAAAGGAUUUCUGCACAGCCUGAGAGCAUGUGUGGACGGGAUUGUCACGUGGUGGAAAGUCUUCUGGGACAGGGGGCGGGAGCACUAAGUAGCCGUGUGACCCGAGACACGUGACACGUCGGAGCCUCAGUCUCCCUACCUAUGAAACAAGAAGGCUGGCCUGGAUCAUCUCUGGGCCCUUCCAGGGCUGACACCCAGGUGAGGACGCUGGCCCAUUGCUUCUGACCUCUGAGGGCAGGGGCCUACCUGGGACUAGACUUGCUGGAAGCCUACGUGUCUUCCCUAAGGGUUGACGGGGCUUCCUUCACAUUACGUGAAAAUGUUCAAAGUUCUGGGAAAGACUCUGACAUCCAAGCAAAUGAAUCUUCUCUUUGUGAUAAAACCAAUGUCUUCUGUCUGGUUGAUAAGCUGAGACCAGAGUUCUUGUCAUCAUACCUAAAGCAGGUGACAAGCAAAAGGGUCACGGGCCAUGGCGGGGAGGGGAUAGGUUUUCAAUGUGGCUUUUGUUGUUUUCGGAAAGGUUUCAAUUCAUGUCUGUGUGGGAGGUGGCCCAGGCCUGAAUUUGCAGAAGCAGGGCGAGGGGCAGGUCGCGUGGGGGCUGAGUGUCGUGGUACCCUGGACUGGCACUUUCCCGUUUGGGCACGAAAGCCAGCACCAGGACCCCGAUCUCUGUGUCGGCGCCCAGGGAGGCAGGAGAGGCAGACUGACCCCGCACCAGCCCAUAGAACACGCUCCGUCCCCUGCCGGAACCGGUUGUGGCUUGGAGACCCCGUCCACUAGGGAGGACCAGGCCUGCUUUCUUCCCCAGCCAGACCGCUAAAGGCUGGCCACAUUCUGUGAGUCGGGUCCGAGCAAAAGCAACACACAGAAGAAGAUGAUUAUGGGUGUUUUUAAACCUGCCCCUUCCUGCCCAGCCCGGGACAAUAUUUACAAAGCAGACAUGCAAACAAGCAGACCUUCUUUUCAUACACAGGCUCCCCCCAUGCUGGAGUCCCUGCCCAGCCCUGGCUUAGGCGUUUAAAGGGCCCGUUUGCCUGUGAGCUGUGGCCGCCUUUCCUCCGGUGGUUCCAGCGUGGUCAGGGAGUCUGGAGCAGGGUUGCUUUUGCUUCAGUAAGGUACAGGCCCCUUUUAGGGAAGACAUUCUCAGGGAUGUCCAGUGUUGGCUCGAAUUACCUUUACUAUUAUGUUUUUUAAAUGUGGACAGACAUCACACCAGGCAUAGAUGCCUUCAGCUUAGAGUUCUGAUGUCACUCUAAAUCUAAAACAAAUUUACAGGUGAUAUGCAAACAGAACUCCAGCACGCAUGGAAUUCCAAUGAUCGGCGUUAACUCCGUGUGCCACCUCUAAACCGCCGGCGUUGGGCUCUGAUGCGGAGAACCUUUAUCUCUGUGUCUCAGAGUUCAUUCGCCAGGGAGUUGAUUUUGUGUAUAAAGGACCUUUGUUUGAGCUAUCAGGGAUCACUUUUCCCCACUUUUUCUCACUGAAGUGGUUUUGAGCCACUAACCCUUUCUUUUAUUAAGCUUGUUGCUAUAAAAGGAGAUCGCCCAUAUCUGAUUUCUGAACAAAAAAAAAAGUCAAAUGCUGGUUAAUAGAAUAUUCUCCACUGUGUAUGUACUUAACUGCUAAUUAACAAUCGAAUGUUGGCGUGGGCUAAGAUGAGGUCUGUAAAGAUAAUUCUAGCAACCAGAAUUAUCCUGCAAAACAUUUUUUGGGGGAGAUUGGCAUGUCCAUACCCAUAUGUAUCGUGUGAUGAUUUGGUGCUUCUCCCACUUAUUCUGUUUUCUGUGAGCACUUUUUAGAGGGCACUGAGACGUUAUUGACCUUGACUUAGUCCCAGGUACUCACUCAUGUGAACGUGGGCUCUGAACUUGCGGGUAGCACUUCACUAGACGGCACUCAUCCCGGUGAUCGGGGACAUGCUUCUGUCGUAGAGCCCCCGAGACUAUGUCCACGGGGUGUCUGAAUCCCGAUUUUGAAGACUAUUCUUCUGGGGGGAAGCCCAAGGUAAAGGGUCACGGGGGGGAAAGAGGUCUCCCCACGACGAGGGAUGGCCAAGAGAACAGCAUCUUCCAGGAGCCGAGAAAGGGCGAGUGGGAGUGGAUGUACGUAUUUGACUGUUUCUUCCCUGCAUACUUACGGGACUCCGUCUUUUUCAUACAGCGAACCUGGGGGCUGGGGAACAGCAGCGGUGACAUGAGCUGCUCUUGUAGACGGCUGCCUGAGACAGUUUGCAAGGCUCUUUGGAACUGCCCGCUAAGUGCCAGGAGAGAAUUAGUGUCUGAGUGCUAGGGUCCCCUCACUCCUUGUGUUCCGUGUUAUGCCGUCGGGUCCAUUUUCACGCGACCUCAGGCAUUUCCAGGAAUCAAAUCCUAAGAGGGAUAAAAAUGUGCCACCUUUAAGAAUAGUCUCAAGAAUGUGUCUCGGGCUUUGAGGACACUCCCUGAGAAAUGACCAGAGAGAGAGGCCCCAGUCCCUUCAGGGUAAGGCCAUACCCACGUGGAGAACCAAGUCCUGGCGUGUUCGUUUGACACAGAAGAGCUUCAGUUCAGCGCGGGAAGCCUGCCCGCGGAGGGGUGGUGACCAACGCCAAGUGUUGAUCAGAAACACCAAGCGCUGGGGCUUUCGGGGACAGGGUUGGGUGGCAGGCUGGCCUUGCUGGGAACAGGUGCAGAGGUGCAGAGGCUGUGGUGAGGGAUGAGUGACACAUAGACCAGGGCCCGGGACGCCAGGCUUCAGGGGUGGAAGAGAAGCAUGUGCAGAAGUAUGGGGGUGGGGGGGAGUAUGAGCAGGGAGAGGGAGUAUGCAUCUGGAAAUGCAGCUUGCAUCCAAACGUGGGGGCCUCAGACGCCAGGACAAGAGCACGCCUGUGUCGUCAUGAGUGGGAGUGUUUGUGGACACCGAGACGUCACAGCGAGCAUAGAGCCCGUCCCGUGGCCGUGAAGCUCCUGCCCCCCCACACACACCGGUGGUCUUCAUUUAAUACUUUCUCUCAAAUUCCCGACCGUGUCCUGCUGUUGUGCUGAUGUCGUGGAGGUCUAUGGCCUCACCUCUGUGAGGGCCCGUGUGUCCCUGGGGAUUGGCGAGCCAGGACGGAGUGGCAUUAUCCAAGAUGGGCGACAAAACCCAACGAAUCCAGGCCCGUGGAAAUGUCACGAGGCAGGCAAGAGGGAAACACCGCGGUGCGGAGGAGGCAGAACGACGCAGAACACGGAUCCCGGAGACAGAAGUGACGGUCGCACCUGCUCGGAUCUCUCUAUGGCCAGAGAAAAGCGAUUCUGUGAAGUAAGAGCUAUCGGGUUGUAAUGAAGCUGGAAGACACGUGUCAGGAAACCAGCAAGAUGCUGGGAUAAUUUAAAGUCAGAGGAGGACAAGUUAGAGUGGAAUUGAUCUUGCUGGGAAUGGUCACGGAUUGGCUUGAGCGACAGCACGUGCGGCUGUCCUAGAAGGAAGAUGUGCCCCGUGCCUGGGGGGCCGGAUGGUGGAGGUGAGUGCCAGAGAAGGCAGAUGCAGGGGUGAGUCACCGAUGUCUCUGGAGGGGCUGGCCACGGCCGGCCGAGGGGCUCGAGAGGCCUCCUGCGGGGUUGGCGGGAGAACCGCUAUAGCAGAGGCUUUGAAAACAGGCACCACAUUAAAGCCAAGAGUUUCACUUCUAGGACCUUAUCUUCAAGAACUGAUCAGGGGAGAGCACAAGAACACGUUUAUAAGAAUUUUUAUAACCGAUGAAAAAUGGGAAAUUUCCCGAAUGCUCGGCAAUAGGGAGUUCACGAUAUGAACAUGUGUGGAGCCAGCCUGGGAAGGAAUGUGUCUGGUAAAUAUUCCCUGCUCAUCUUCCAUCCCCUGACUCACCUAUCUAUCCAUCAGCCUACCCAUCACCUUGACAUUGUCCUUCUUAGGGUUCAAUUAACCUGUCUGAACACGGAGUGCACACUAGACCCUACGGUGGGCACCAGGAUUCUAGGGUACGGCCUCUUCCCCGAUCUGCUCAUACUCCUGUGGGGAAGGGGCAGGGAAGUGAACAGGUCAUUACAAUUCAACACAAGAAACCGUCUGAUAGAAGAGAGUGUCAGGUGGCUUCAAAACCCAAAGGGGACAGGAACUAACCACGUCUGGGGAAAUCGGGAGAGGCAGGAUGAAUGGCCGUUUCGUUCCGGGGAGAGCCUGCUGCACGCGACCCUGCGUCACGGAGAAGGCAGGUGCUGAUGGUCUGUGCUUGUGCCCGAGGGACUGCAGGCACCCAGAGCACUGUUCUGUGGGGCUGGUUUCACUCCCUUCCAGACGCAGGCAGGUGUAGACAUGCCAGAGCCACCGUGCAGAAUGGACAGUGAUGAGUAUCUCAUCUUCUGUCACACUUUCUGUGAACCCGAUUUAGACACCAUGUCCCCAAAUACCUUUGUUGCUCCAGCAGCAUCUGAGUGGAGGCCCUGAGUGCCAGAGAGUCGAUGUCCCGGUGCCUGGAAGCUCACAGUGAGGGAGACUUUCACUUCACUCGGUGUCCUGUUCUCACACGUGCUGUGUUUGUGGCCGGCUUCGGUGAGCCGCAGUGCGGGUGCUAUCUAGCAGGGUGAAGAUUUCCUGGGUGGCCCGUAUCUGAGGGCCACUCGAAUGCUUUUCUCCGCGUGUGCGUCUGAGGCUAACUGGUCAGAGCUCCGGGUCAUCCGUGCAGACUCCUGUUGCCCGGCUGCUAGUGUUACAGGCCGGUGUGGAAGAAUAUGGGUUUUGGAGACAGAGACUUAGAUUCAAGUCCCAGCCCUGCCGUUCUUCAGGUGCCUGGCCUUGUGCGAGAUACCUGUCCUUGCUGAGCCUCACUUUUCUCCCCGUAUAAUGGACCUCAUCAAGCCUGCUCGUGGGACUGUUCCGUGGAUUACUUGAGGCAAGGCGUGUGAAGUGCAAAGGACAGAGCUUCAUAAAACACUCAGGAAGUGGGAAUUGCUUUUGUCCUCACCGUUGUUAGGGCUAGUCCCAGGGACAUUAUUUCAGGUUGUGUUGGGAGAAGUCUCGUGUGUUUCUACGGGCAAGCUUGGCUCACCAAUCAGACCAACCAGAUUUACGGUUAAACAUGGUCAUAAAGAGCGUCUGGUCAAGUCUUGUUUAAUGCAGCGGGAGAGCACAUUGUGAGGUCUAAUUUAUUAGGCAAAGAAAACAUAUGGGACGAAUCGUGCUGUUACCAAACACUUAGCUUAGGCCUGGGAAUAAUCACACGCACUUUAUCUUGAGAGGUUCACGUGGCCUGUUGUGGAAAGGGAGGGGGCAGGUGCCAACAACGGCUUGGUUCAAGGUGGAGUGAAGCUUGGGGAAGCCUGUGCCAGACUCAUGCUCGGACCCAGGAGGAUGGGCAUCAGAGAAGGCCUGGUGCUUCACGCCCCUGCCACGUUUUCCCCUUUAUGAUGCAUGAUUAAUUGUAGUUAAUUUUACUAAGACAGUUGUCUCUUGGAAAUAAAGGCAGAAUAUGAAGACUAAGAAUAAUUGUAACUAUCCCCACUUGACCUUGAGCAAGUUACUUAACCCCCCCCCGUGACCAGAAGCAGGUCACUGUUCCAGAGGGGGUUAGUAAAAUGGGAGCAAUGUAGCACCUCCUUCAGAAGGUCAUGGUGAGGGUUCAGUGCGUUACUGCAGGUGCGCUCACAGGAGUAGCUGGUGCUUAGUAGGUGUUCGAUACACAUUAGCCAUCACCAUCAUCAUCACCAUCAUCACCAUCA